GACAGAGGGUGCAAACGUUGUUCGGAAUUACUGGGCGUAAAGCGCGUGUAGGCUGCUUCGCAAGUCGGAUGUGAAAGCCCUGGGCUCAACCCAGGAAGUGCAUUCGAAACUGCAGAGCUGGAGUCCUGGAGAGGAAGGCGGAAUUCUCGGUGUAGAGGUGAAAUUCGUAGAUAUCAGGAGGAACACCUGUGGCGAAGGCGGCCAUCUGGACGGUAACUGACGCUGAGACGCGAAAGCGUGGGGAGCAAACAGG
RNAcentral lists this ribosomal RNA (253 nucleotides) under uncultured bacterium. RNAcentral's name for it is "partial 16S ribosomal RNA". It matches the Rfam family "Bacterial small subunit ribosomal RNA", at positions 524 to 776 of the family's 1533-position model. The record is from RNAcentral.